RNAcentral lists this ribosomal RNA (355 nucleotides) under uncultured bacterium. RNAcentral's name for it is "bacterial SSU rRNA". It matches the Rfam family "Bacterial small subunit ribosomal RNA", at positions 8 to 350 of the family's 1533-position model. The record is from RNAcentral.
AGAGUUUGAUCAUGGCUCAGGAUGAACGCUAGCUACAGGCUUAACACAUGCAAGUCGAGGGGAAACGACAUCGAAAGCUUGCUUUUGAUGGGCGUCGACCGGCGCACGGGUGAGUAACGCGUAUCCAACCUGCCCACCACUUGGGGAUAACCUUGCGAAAGUAAGACUAAUACCCAAUGACGUCUCUAGAAGACAUCUGAAAGAGAUUAAAGAUUUAUCGGUGAUGGAUGGGGAUGCGUCUGAUUAGCUUGGUUGGCGGGGUAACGGCCACCAAGGCUACGAUCAGUAGGGGUUCUGAGAGGAACGGUCCCCCANAUUGGAACUGAGACACGGUCCAAACUCCGUACGGGAGGCA